GAAUGUGAAACUCUUUAGAUAUUUGUCUAGAAGGUUUCUCUUAAAGAGAAGCCCAC
RNAcentral lists this small nuclear RNA (56 nucleotides) under Hippocampus comes (tiger tail seahorse). RNAcentral's name for it is "U7 small nuclear RNA (ENSHCOG00000017309.1)". It matches the Rfam family "U7 small nuclear RNA". Rfam says of the family: Animal histone pre-mRNAs are spliced by a different mechanism than nuclear pre-mRNAs and self-splicing introns. The record is from RNAcentral. Lineage: Eukaryota; Metazoa; Chordata; Actinopteri; Syngnathiformes; Syngnathidae.